Molecule: ribosomal RNA, 250 nt
Filed under: uncultured bacterium
Lineage: Bacteria
Description: partial 16S ribosomal RNA
Rfam family: Bacterial small subunit ribosomal RNA
Source: RNAcentral
UGGGGAAUAUUGGACAAUGGGCGCAAGCCUGAUCCAGCCACGCCGCGUGAGUGAUGAAGGCCUUCGGGUCGUAAAGCUCUGUGGGGAGGGACGAACCGCUGCCGGUUAAUACCCGGCAGCAUGACGGUACCUCCUUAGCAAGCACCGGCUAACUUCGUGCCAGCAGCCGCGGUAAUACGAAGGGUGCAAACGUUGCUCGGAAUUAUUGGGCGUAAAGCGCACGUAGGCGGCUUAGCAAGUUGGAUGUGAA